AGAUCACCGAAGUCAAGCAUCAUUAGGCGCUGUCAGUACUUGGGUGGGUGACCACCUGGGAACACCGCGUGCCGUU
RNAcentral lists this ribosomal RNA (76 nucleotides) under Caerostris extrusa. Lineage: Eukaryota; Metazoa; Arthropoda; Arachnida; Araneae; Araneidae. The record is from RNAcentral.